RNAcentral lists this ribosomal RNA (521 nucleotides) under uncultured bacterium. RNAcentral's name for it is "bacterial SSU rRNA". It matches the Rfam family "Bacterial small subunit ribosomal RNA", at positions 8 to 518 of the family's 1533-position model. The record is from RNAcentral.
AGAGUUUGAUUCUGGCUCAGGAUGAACGCUAGCUACAGGCUUAACACAUGCAAGUCGAGGGGCAGCAUGAACUUAGCUUGCUAAGUUGAUGGCGACCGGCGCACGGGUGAGUAGCGCGUAUCCAACCUGGCUCUUAGUAGGGGAUAGCCCGGCGAAAGUCGGAUUAAUACCCUAUGUUUUUCCGAGGCGAGCAUUCAAUUUGGAACAAAGAUUCAUCGCUAAGGGAUGGGGAUGCGUCUGAUUAGGUAGUCGGCGGGGUAACGGCCCACCGAGCCGACGAUCAGUAGGGGUUCUGAGAGGAAGGUCCCCCACAUUGGUACUGAGACACGGACCAAACUCCUACGGGAGGCAGCAGUGAGGAAUAUUGGUCAAUGGGCGAGAGCCUGAACCAGCCAAGUAGCGUGCAGGAUGACGGCCCUAUGGGUUGUAAACUGCUUUUGGAGGGGAAUAAAGUGAGGCACGUGUGCCUUUUUGUAUGUACCCUCAGAAUAAGGACCGGCUAAUUCCGUGCCAGCCGCAGC